RNAcentral lists this long non-coding RNA (3890 nucleotides) under Podarcis lilfordi (Lilford's wall lizard). The record is from RNAcentral. Lineage: Eukaryota; Metazoa; Chordata; Lepidosauria; Squamata; Lacertidae.
AGAGUCAGUCUGCCUCAGUUGUGAGCAGUAUGUAAUCUCAGUCAAACUGUUUGGAACCAUAAAGAUGUUUAUUUUAACUCAGUAAAGCUUUUAUUCUUUCCCUUAAAAACUCUGCAUUAUUAAUUUACGCUGCGCGUCAUCCCUGCUGUCACAACUUACAUUGCAAGCUGCUUGAGGACAAGGGACUGCCUCCUUUUGCUUAUGAAACUCUUGUAAAGUGCCAAUUGUGUUGGUAGCACUGAAUAAACAAUAAACAUUAAUGGACCCAAUCCAUUCAAAUCUGUUAAAAUCUUGACAUAAAAGUUUACAGGUUGCCAACUGAGCGCCACAAGAUAAUAUUGUUUUUGUUACCUUCUGCUGAAGAGAGGCUGCCAACAUUUUAAUAUCUAUUUUUAACCUCAGAAUUGUAACUGCUCACGUACCAUAUUAUUCUAUAUACUAGAACACAUACUUAUUCAUAUAUUUCAGGGAUGGGGAACCAGUGCCCUCCAAUCAACCCCCAUGGCCAAUGGUCAAGGAUGAUGGGAGCUGUGGAGCCCCAAUAUAUUUGAACAACACUUUCAAAAUCUGAACAACACUUUCAAAAUUUCAGUCAGAGGAUUUUACUCAUUUCAGCUCAAAGAUAUUCUAGAAAAGCAUAAUGGGCCAGAUUCAGCUAUGCUGUUAUGCUAGUGGAAGCCAGUGCAAUGAGUCCUCCUAGUGCAAAAGGACUUCCUCCCUUCUCCACCCCCCACGCCCUCCUUAUCCUCCCCAAAUCUGCUCAGAAUGAUUGGGAUGAACCCCAGAACGGGGGGCGGGGGGGGGCAUGGAGGAAAACAAGAGAAACUGUUCAUAUUUUGCAUAUUCAGCAAGCAGAAAUGUUUUCGCUGAUAUAACAAUUGUCUUAGCACAACAUUGAAUCCCACCAUUGUGGUCCUGUAAUCUGUUAUCAGCUGUUCAGAACAGACUGCAUUAUGAACAUGUGAAAAUGUGCAUUAUAUGGGGGCCUUCCUGUUCCCCUGUGUAUAUUUAGGAGUGUGUGCAUGAAGAAAAAUAUUCAUCCAUCCCCUACUCAGAGAAUUGACUUGGGAAAUAGCCGGACUCUGAGGAAAGCCAAUGCCAGAAAGCCAUACUAACAAAAUUGCAACAAACCGGCAAAAUUUCUUACCAACAAGAGAAACUGGAAAAUGGAAACUAUCCCUGAAGAGGGAGGAUUGGAGCAUAGGGCAUAGCUGUCAACUUACAGAUUUGAAAAUAAGGGACCAGCAGCCUUGAAAAUAAGGGACCAGCAGCCAAAAUAAGGGACCUGCAGCCUCACCUGUUCCAGGCACUCCAGUCUUCCUGUCCUCCUGCAGUCUGGUCAAACUCAUGUUGGUAGCUUCGAGAACACUGUUGAGCCAACUUUGUAACCAGAGGUUCAAUUGAAUAGAAUCUGAAUCACAUGCACCACAAGGCCUAUGCAGCCUCAACUUAAGAUGGCUCCCUGGCCUAGCUUUGCACUGCAAAGUUUGCAGCAGCACGUGCAACAAAAUGGCGUCCAGCAUUCAAAAACCCCCUCAGCUUGCAUUAACUAGCCACACACAAGGCAUGCAAGCUCCACCCCCCAGUCGUUCUUAGACUUCUUAUUGGGUGAGCAACACAGCCAAGCAACACAGUUGGAGCCUCCCUCCUCCCUGGCCAGCAGGGAGGGAGGGAGAGGAGCUGCUUCCUUUGAAAUUUAAGGGACAUCAUUUAAGGGACAUCAUUUAAGGGACAUUUAAGGGACAUCUAUCAAUAAGGGACAGCAGCGGGACAUGGCGCUGGAAUAAGGGACUGUCCCUUCAAAUAAGGGACACUUGACAGCUAUGGCAUAGGGUAUCCAUAAUUUCUUUGUGUUAAGAAUCAGAUUUCAGGCAUUUAUUAUAAUGAGUCUUUUAGCAUUCCUUCAGAACCCUUCAGAAAUUAGGUUGAAGCAGAUUUAUUAUGUGGGACUGAAGCCAGAUAGAAAGCCUAGUCCAAAUUAAAAUCAAUAAUAAAGUAGUUCGAAAGUGCUUUUGGAUACUCACUUUUCUAUUCAUACUUUUGGGGCAAAACGAGGCUUUCCUUCCCUGAUUUUGGAGCGAAGCGCCCUUUUUAAGGAAGCAUCAGAGCGCAAAGUCACCACCUCAUUGCAAUAUGUUAUUGUGUUUUAAAUUAUACUUUUUUUAAUGAGUGCUUGCUUCACUUACCUCAUUUUCAUAUCUGCAUUAGCACAGCACUAGCAAAAUACAAUUCCCCAUGAAAUAUGUUUUUCAAGAAUCUAUUUAGAUAGAAACAAGCAUGAUGGAACAAUGUUCUUCAUACAUAUUCCUAAUCAAAAUGAACUUUAAUUAGACUAAGUCUGUAACAACUGUGCCGGGAGCAAGCAUCACUACCUUUCAGAAACAAUUUCCAAUGAACCUUGCUAGGUGUUGCCUUGACAGUAGGACUUAGGAGCCACUGCAGUAAUAAUGUAGUAUUAUUUAUAAAAUAAUAAGUAGAAAAAAUAAAGGGUAAUUCAGUUGCAUUCACAAGAGCCACCAUUUCAUAAGUGGGGCAAUAAUAAUAAUAAUAAUACCCUGCCCAUCUGACUGGGUUGCCCCAGCCACUCUGGGUGGCUUCCAAUGCAUAUAAAAACAUAAUAAAAAUUACAUAUUAAGAAGCUUUCCUAUUCAGGGCUGCCUUCAGAUGACAUCUAAAGGUUAUAUAGUUACUCGUCUCCUUCACAUCUGUAGACAGCAGACAGCUGUAGAGAAUGACAAGCUGUAGAUAUCUACCAGUGAAACAUUUUCCUAUCCCACUCAUUUCAAGCUACCUAGAAGGAAAGAAAGAUGAUCCGGCAACAUUACUGAAACCUUGUUGUACAAUAUAAAUGUGAAUUAUGAACUAACACAAUACUCCAAUUCUAUUUACAUUCCAGGCUUGUUAAUCUCCCUCGGCUGGAUUCUUCCUCUUGUUUCACUUCUUCUUAGGCUUCAGCAUAGUUGAUCUAUCGAACUGAACAAAUGCAUUAGGUGAUCAGAGAGAUCGUGGGAGGUGGGCUGCGGUUAGCUUCUGCACGGCAGCAAGCCCAGCCUGGCCAGAUGUGAAGUUGGGGAGGGAGGAGGAAGUGAUGCUGUGCAGUAACAGCAUUGCUGCUUGGAACACUCUCCCCCUUUCAACUAUGCCUGGAGGUGAGUGCAAGCAGGGUUGGGGGCAAGGGCAUAAGGGACUUAGGAGUUGGGUGCUUUUUACCUUUUGCCUUUUACAGCAAAAGCAUCUGAGUGCACUAAAAGUGAGCAGAAGGAAGGACAGGCAGGAUCCACUGAUCUUGCAGUAAGAAUGCAAAAGUGGAGAAGCAAGGUGGUGGAGAUCCUGGGGGGGGGGGAUAGAGGGUGGCGUAGGGUGUGCAUUAUGAGCACCACAUUAAUGAAGUUUAGGCUUUCUUUCUUUUUUUACUCACACAUUUUUACUCCCAGGCCUUCACUGAUGGUUGAUCUCUGUGUAUUAUAACUUUAACUCUCCUCUGAUUUUUCAGUUGCAAAACACAGAAAAGCAAGAAACAUUGGUCAUUGGCUCAUAUGGCCCAGUAUUGUCUACGCUGACUGGGUGUAAGCUUGGAGGGCUUGUGAUGUUCACCUAAAGAAAAGUGAGCAUGGUUGGGCUCCUGAAUUUUUCUCCAGCAAAGAAAUCAAAACUAAAGAAGACUUCCUAACUCUUCCCUCACCGUGACAAACACAAUUGCCUUGAACUACCUCCCUGCCUUUUCUUCAAACAACAUUUUCCCGAACACAGGAUCAGUGCUGAUAGCACUCAAACCAUGGGAAGAGGGAAGUGGGGAGAUCUCUCCUUCCCCUCUCUUGAAACCACAGUAGGAAGCAAGGCUCUGGUGGAAGUCUUCGUUAAAUAGCUAGUUAUUUUUACACAGUAGACUU